Molecule: ribosomal RNA, 3378 nt
Filed under: Triticum aestivum (bread wheat)
Lineage: Eukaryota; Viridiplantae; Streptophyta; Magnoliopsida; Poales; Poaceae
Description: partial small subunit ribosomal RNA
Source: RNAcentral
AUGGCCUCAUCCGCCGCCACCUCCUCCCCUCUCUCCGGCCAGAUCACCGAGCGCCUUACCCGCACCAACUAUGUUCUUUGGCGCACUCAGAUCACGCCGCAGCUGAGAGGAGCUGGAGUCUUCGGGUACGUCGACGGAAGCAUGGCGGAGCCGGCCGAGUUCGUCGUCGGCAAGGACAAGGAUGGAAAGGAGGCAACCAUCCCCAACCCACUCCAUGCCGUCUGGUUCCGCGAGGAUCAGCAGGUACUUGGUUAUCUCUUGAAUAACCUAUCCAAAGAGGUGCUAGUGCAGGUCACCUCCAUCGCGCACGCACGCGAACUCUGGACGGCGCUGGCGAGCAUGUUCUCAUCCACGUCGCUGUCCCGUGUCAACAACAUCCGCGCCGCCCUCACCAAUGCGCAGAAAGGAACGCAAUCGGUGGCCACCUUCUUCGCGUACAUGCGGGGACUCGCCGACGAGCUCGCCGCGGCUGGCAAGCCGUUGAAGGAUGAUGAGUUAAUCUCGUAUAUUCUCAACGUGCUUGACAUGGAGUACCAGCCCUUGGUGUCCGCCCUCGACGCCCGCACCACCCCGGUCACUCUCGACGAGCUGUUCGGGCAGAUGAGCAACUUCGACCAGCGGGUGGCUCUGUUCCAGGGAGCAGGCGCGGCGGGCGGCUUCAAGUCGUCAGCGAACGCUGCCACGCGCGGCCGGGGCGGAGGCUCCCGCUACCGCGGCCCACCUCGGAGUGGCAAGGGCCGGGGCUCCGGCAACGAAAACAACAGCGGCGCCAACAACACACGAGGCGGCCGGCCUUUCUGCUCCAACAAUCGAGGCUGGCGCGACAACUCCUCCAACAACAGAUCACGCCCUGAUGCAAUCAGGUGCCAAAUCUGUGGCAAGCCGGGACACUCGGCAAAAGAUUGUUGGUACCGUUUUGAAGAAGACGAAGAUGAUUCCUCACAAGAUGAGAAGGUGGCCGGAGCUGCUGAUGGCUCCUACGGCGUCGACACCAAUUGGUACGUCGACAGCGGUGCCACAAACCACAUCACCGGUGAGCUGGAGAAGGUGACCAUGCGCGACAAGUACCGUGGCAAAGAUCACAUCCACACAGCAAGUGGAGAAGAUGAGAACAACGCAGAAAACGGUGCAGGACACGCUCAAAAUGGCGAAGAAAAUCUGCUUACAACGCCAUAUUUCAUGUGUCCAGGGCUGAGGGACAAAUCCUCCUCGGGAUCAGCUCCACCGCAGCCUGACAGCGGAUCCUCCUCGGGAUCAGGGUCGCCCGGGAGCAGCGCCGCGCGGAAACCCGCGUCGCCCGCCAGCCAGCCGAGCAGUGGCCCCGCGCUUGCCACUCGGCGCCUCGCCACGGGCCAGGGCGAUUUGGCCCGCCUCCACCACUCGGAUGCCCCCAUGCGGCAGCCCGAGAUUCGCUGGGCUCAUGAUGGGCCCCGCCACUACGUCCGCCGCCAGCCCACAGGCAGGGACCGCCAGGACCGCCAGGAGCCAGGUGUAGGCGCUGGUCCCACCGCAGAUCCGGCCCUGUCAGCCUCUGUCGUUGGCGCGCGAUCCGGCGCGGGCCCGCCUGGAUUCGCCUCAUCAUUGCGCCAUGAUGGGUCUGCGCUAGAUGUCUCCCACGGCACAGGAUUCUGUGCGCCUGAUUCCGCCGCGUCUCCACCGUCUCCAAACCGCGUUGGCACAGAGGAUCCUGCUGGCAGCGAGGCGGGGAUUCUCACAGGAUCUUCUGACGCCGCCGUCCCAGGAUUUUCUGCAUCACCACCGGCUGCUGCUGUUCCACGGACACGUCUCCAAAAAGGGGUAAUAAAACCAGUUAAUUACAAACAACUGACAAAGUUCAGUUUAAUGUGCUCCACAGAUGAACCAAGUACUCUUGGCGAGGCACUCAGCGACAAAAAUUGGAAGGCAGCCAUGGAGGAAGAACACAUGGCACUUCUCAAAAACAAAACGUGGCAUCUGGUUCCGCCACGACACGGUAAAAAUUUGAUUGAUUGCAAGUGGGUAUUUAGAAUUAAAAGGAAGGCUGAUGGAACCAUUGAUCGCUACAAAGCCAGACUAGUUGCAAAGGGUUUUAAACAACGGUACGAUAUAGACUAUGAGGACACCUUUAGUCCAGUUGUUAAAGCUACAACUAUUCGUCUUGUGCUCUCUAUUGCUGUUUCCAGGGGAUGGAGCCUUCGCCAGCUAGAUGUCAAGAAUGCGUUUCUUUAUGGUGUUCUGGAAGAGGAAGUAUAUAUGAAACAACCUCCUGGUUUUGAAAACAAGAAUAAGCCGUUCCAUGUGUGCAAGCUUGAUAAAGCAUUAUAUGGACUCAAACAAGCUCAUAGGGCAUGGUAUUCCAGAUUAAGCCACAAAUUGCAAACUCUUGGUUUUGUUCCUUCUAAGUCUGACACAUCCUUGUUCAUUUACAACAAGUUGAAAACAACAAUAUUUGUUCUUAUAUAUGUUGAUGAUAUUAUUGUCACAAGCUCAUCUAAUGAGGCUAUAUCAGGAAUGUUGAAGGAUUUAAAUGCUGAGUUUGCUCUCAAGGAUCUGGGUGACUUGCACUUCUUCCUAGGGAUUGAAGUCAAGAAACAAGGAAAUAGUCUUCAUCUUUCUCAGGAAAAGUAUGCCACUGAUCUGGUAAGAAGAGUUGGGUUACAAGGAUGUAAAUCCUCACCAACUCCACUGUCCAGCAUAGAAAAAUUGUCACUUACAGAAGGAAAGCCCUUGGGUCAAGAUGACAGUACCAGGUACAGGAGCUUGGUAGGUGCACUUCAGUAUCUGACUUUGACAAGACCUGAUCUUUCAUUUGCAGUAAACAAGGUUUGUCAGUUUCUUCAUGCACCCACUAUAACUCAUUGGACAGCUGCUAAACGCAUAGUGAGAUAUGUGAAGGACACAGUUAAUCUAGGCCUCACUUUCAACAAGUCUUCAUCUACACUUGUUAGUGCAUUCUCUGAUUCUGACUGGGCAGGGUGUUUAGAUGACAGACGAUCUACUGGUGGUUUUGCAGUAUUCUUUGGUCCAAACUUAAUAUCAUGGUGUGCAAAGAAACAAGCCACUGUAUCAAGAUCCAGUACUGAAGCUGAGUACAAGGCUUUGGCCAAUGCCACAGCUGAAAUUAUUUGGGUCCAGUCCAUGCUACGAGAGCUUGGUGUGAAGACUACCCAAGCUCCAUGUUUAUGGUGUGAUAAUCUUGGUGCUACUUACCUGUCUGCUAACCCUGUGUUUCAUGCAAGGACGAAACAUAUUGAGAUUGAUUUCCAUUUUGUUAGAGAACGAGUUGCAAACAAGCAGUUGGAAAUUCGGUUCAUUCAUUCUCGUGAUCAGGUUGCAGAUGGAUUCACCAAAGCUUUGCCCACACAAAAUUUGAAGAGUUCAAGCGUAAUCUCAACUUGA